RNAcentral lists this ribosomal RNA (465 nucleotides) under uncultured bacterium. RNAcentral describes it as "partial 16S ribosomal RNA". It matches the Rfam family "Bacterial small subunit ribosomal RNA", at positions 338 to 795 of the family's 1533-position model. The record is from RNAcentral.
CCUACGGUCGGCAGCAGUGGGGCAUAUUGCGCAAUGGGCGAAAGCCUGACGCAGCGAAGCCGCGUGAGGGAUGACGGUCUUCGGAUCGUGAAACUCUGUCAGCAGGGAAGAAGGGUCACUGUGCUAAUCAGCAGUGAAUUGACGGUACCUGCAAAGGAAGCACCGGCUAACUCCGUGCCAGCAACCGCGGUAAGACGGAGGGUUGGAGCGUUAAUCGGGAUUACUGGGCGUAAAGCGCUCGUCGGCGGCAUGUCAAGUCAAGGGUGAAAUCCCCGCGCUCAACCUGGGAACUGCCUUUGAAACUGGCAAACUGGAGUGUGUGAGAGGAUAGUGGAAUUCCAGGUGUAGGAGUGAAAUCCGUAGAUAUCUGGAGGAACAUCAGUGGCGAAGGCGACUAUCUGGCACAUAACUGACGCUGAGGAGCGAAAGCGUGGGUAGCAAACAGGAUUAGAUACCCGUGUAGUC